This 505-nucleotide ribosomal RNA is filed under the name uncultured Arthrobacter sp. Its description in RNAcentral is "bacterial SSU rRNA". It matches the Rfam family "Bacterial small subunit ribosomal RNA", at positions 1 to 524 of the family's 1533-position model. The record is from RNAcentral. Lineage: Bacteria; Bacillati; Actinomycetota; Actinomycetes; Micrococcales; Micrococcaceae.
UAGAGUUUGAUCAUGGCUCAGGAUGAACGCUGGCGGCGUGCUUAACACAUGCAAGUCGAACGAUGAAGCCCAGCUUGCUUUGGUGGAUUAGUGGCGAACGGGUGAGUAACACGUGAGUAACCUGCCCCCGACUCUGGGAUAAGCCUGGGAAACUGGGUCUAAUACCGGGUAUGACCUCUCACCGCAUGGUGGGUGGUGGAAAGAUUUAUCGGUGGGGGAUGGACUCGCGGCCUAUCAGCUUGUUGGUGAGGUAAUGGCUCACCAAGGCGACGACGGGUAGCCGGCCUGAGAGGGUGACCGGCCACACUGGGACUGAGACACGGCCCAGACUCCUACGGGAGGCAGCAGUGGGGAAUAUUGCACAAUGGGCGCAAGCCUGAUGCAGCGACGCCGCGUGAGGGAUGACGGCCUUCGGGUUGUAAACCUCUUUCAGUAGGGAAGAAGCGAGAGUGACGGUACCUGCAGAAGAAGCGCCGGCUAACUACGUGCCAGCAGCCGCGGUAAU